This 670-nucleotide ribosomal RNA is filed under the name uncultured soil bacterium. Its description in RNAcentral is "bacterial SSU rRNA". It matches the Rfam family "Bacterial small subunit ribosomal RNA", at positions 798 to 1493 of the family's 1533-position model. The record is from RNAcentral.
CGCCGUAAACUAUGGAUGCUAGCUGUUAACCGUAUCGACCCGGUUAGUAGCGAAGCUAACGCGUUAAGCAUCCCGCCUGUGGAGUACGGUCGCAAGACUAAAACAUAAAGGAAUUGACGGGGACCCGCACAAGCGGUGGAGCGUGUUCUUUAAUUCGAAGGUAAGCGAAGAACCUUACCAGGGUUUGACAUCCUAGGAAUCUUUCCGAAAGGAAAGAGUGCUUUAUUGAGCCUAGUGACAGGUGUUGCAUGGCCGUCGUCAGCUCGUGUCGUGAGAUGUUUGGUUAAGUCCAUCAACGAGCGCAACCCUUGUAUUCAGUUGGAUUUUUCUGAAUAGACUGCCCCGGCAACGGGGAGGAAGGAGGGGAUGAUGUCAGGUCAGUAUUACCCUUACACCCUGGGCUAGAAACACGCUACAAUGGCCGGUACAAAGGGCUGCCAAGUCGCGAGACGGAGCAAAUCCCAUCAAAGCCGGUCUCAGUUCGGAUAGCAGGCUGAAACUCGCCUGCUUGAAGCUGGAAUCGCUAGUAACGGUAGGUCAGCACACUACCGUGAAUACGUUCCCGGGUCUUGUACACACCGCCCGUCAAACCAUGAAAGUCGCCAAUACCUGACGUGUUGCCUUUGCGCAGCCCUAAGGUAGGGGAGAUGAUUGGGGUUAAGUCGUAACA